AUAUUUUAGUGGUAACUCAUCACCACCACAAGAUGGUUCAAAAGAGUUCCAACAAGAUUGGAUAAGAAUCAAGGAUGAAUAUAAACAGUUAUGUAAAAAGAUACAAGACGCAAGUACACAAGAACCAGAGACAUGUGAUUUUGCUGGAGAUUUUGCUGUUUUCUCAAAUAUCCAACCCAAAAAUCAUCCAACCAUUAUAAAGGUUAUAUUGGAGAACAA
This 219-nucleotide unclassified non-coding RNA is filed under the name Hevea brasiliensis (rubber tree). Lineage: Eukaryota; Viridiplantae; Streptophyta; Magnoliopsida; Malpighiales; Euphorbiaceae. The record is from RNAcentral.